Molecule: unclassified non-coding RNA, 278 nt
Filed under: Hevea brasiliensis (rubber tree)
Lineage: Eukaryota; Viridiplantae; Streptophyta; Magnoliopsida; Malpighiales; Euphorbiaceae
Source: RNAcentral
UGGACAUUGACCUGUUAAAAGAACCAGGUGGAUGGGUACUGGUUCAAGUGGCGGAUCAAUUGUUUAAUCAAUGGGUCAUAAAAAUAUUAAUUGAAUAUAUUUUAAUUCAAUAUUACUAAUUCAAAUUAAUUAUAAAUAACUUGCAUUCUAACUAAAGGUUCAUAAACAUGAUCCAACGUAAAAUUAAAUGCACUAAAAUGACAGUUAAAAGCAUUUAAAUGAUAGUAUAACUGUACAAGUAAAAUUAAAGUGUAGAUAAGCUCACCUAUCAAAACCAA